AGAGUUUGAUUCUGGCUCAGGACGAACGCUGGCGGCGUGCCUAACACAUGCAAGUCGAACGGGCUUGGGGGCAACUCCAGGUCAGUGGCGGACGGGUGCGUAACACGUGAGCAACAUGUCCAACGGUGGGGGAUAGCCGGCCCAACGGCCGGGUAAUACCGCAUGCGGUCACCUCGGGGCAUCCCUGGUGACGAAAGUGAGGGCAACCUCACGCCGAUGGAGUGGCUCGCGGCCUAUCAGCUAGUUGGUGAGGUCAUGGCUCACCAAGGCUACGACGGGUAGCUGGUCUGAGAGGAUGACCAGCCACAUUGGGACUGAGACACGGCCCAGACUCCUACGGGAGGCAGCAGUGGGGAAUAUUGCGCAAUGGGCGAAUGCCUGACGCAGCGACGCCGCGUGUGGGAUGACGGCCUUCGGGUUGUAAACCACUGUCGGAGGGGACGAAGGCCCGGCGGCGAAUAGCCGACCGGGAUUGACGGUACCCUCAAAGGAAGCACCGGCUAACUCCGUGCCAGCAGCCGCGGUAAUACGGAGGGUGCGAGCGUUGUCCGGAAUCACUGGGCGUAAAGGGUGCGUAGGCGGCUAGGUAAGUCACGUGUNNNNNGCCGGGGCUCAACCCCGGAUCGGCAUGUGAGA
RNAcentral lists this ribosomal RNA (636 nucleotides) under uncultured bacterium. RNAcentral's name for it is "bacterial SSU rRNA". It matches the Rfam family "Bacterial small subunit ribosomal RNA", at positions 8 to 632 of the family's 1533-position model. The record is from RNAcentral.